Long non-coding RNA from Glycine soja, 296 nucleotides. RefSeq lists it as uncharacterized. The record is from RefSeq and is a predicted model, not a curated record. NCBI's taxonomy places the organism in Eukaryota, Viridiplantae, Streptophyta, Magnoliopsida, Fabales, Fabaceae. The transcript is spliced from 2 exons.
GGGAUAAACCAAUACUACUUGCUUGGGGAUUAUCAGACAAGUACUUGCCCCAGUAUGUGGCAGAGCAGUUUCAGAAAGGAAAUCCAGCACAAAUCCAGCUUAAAUUGAUAGAAGGAGCUGGUCAUAUGCCACAAGAGGACUGGCCUGAGAAAGUUGUUGAUGCUUUCAGAAUGUUCUUCUGAUUUCAACAACUAAUUGACCCUGUAGGCAUCCAAGUGCUUUAUUUCAUUGGAAGGGCAUUCUUGAGUUUUUCCUUAAUUAAAUUGUAAAUUUAGUAUGCCUUAAUUUUUCUUUUC